RNAcentral lists this ribosomal RNA (492 nucleotides) under uncultured bacterium. RNAcentral's name for it is "partial 16S ribosomal RNA". It matches the Rfam family "Bacterial small subunit ribosomal RNA", at positions 29 to 507 of the family's 1533-position model. The record is from RNAcentral.
AGUGAACGCUGGCGGUAGGCCUAACACAUGCAAGUCGAACGGCAGCACAGUAAGGGCUUGCUCUUACGGGUGGCGAGUGGCGGACGGGUGAGGAAUACAUCGGAAUCUACUUUUUCGUGGGGGAUAACGUAGGGAAACUUACGCUAAUACCGCAUACGACCUACGGGUGAAAGCAGGGGAUCUUCGGACCUUGCGCGAUUGAAUGAGCCGAUGUCGGAUUAGCUAGUUGGCGGGGUAAAGGCCCACCAAGGCGACGAUCCGUAGCUGGUCUGAGAGGAUGAUCAGCCACACUGGAACUGAGACACGGUCUAGACUCCUACGGGAGGCAGCAGUGGGGAAUAUUGGACAAUGGGCGCAAGCCUGAUCCAGCCAUACCGCGUGGGUGAAGAAGGCCUUCGGGUUGUAAAGCCCUUUUGUUGGGAAAGAAAAGCAGCAGGUUAAUACCCCGCUGUUCUGACGGUACCCAAAGAAUAAGCACCGGCUAACUUCGUG